This 165-nucleotide ribosomal RNA is filed under the name Phaeoacremonium cinereum. Its description in RNAcentral is "5.8S ribosomal RNA". It matches the Rfam family "5.8S ribosomal RNA". Rfam says of the family: 5.8S ribosomal RNA (5.8S rRNA) is a component of the large subunit of the eukaryotic ribosome. It is transcribed by RNA polymerase I as part of the 45S precursor that also contains 18S and 28S rRNA. Functionally, it is thought that 5.8S rRNA may be involved in ribosome translocation. Lineage: Eukaryota; Fungi; Ascomycota; Sordariomycetes; Togniniales; Togniniaceae. The record is from RNAcentral.
AAAACUUUCAACAACGGAUCUCUUGGUUCUGGCAUCGAUGAAGAACGCAGCGAAAUGCGAUAAGUAAUGUGAAUUGCAGAAAUCAGUGAAUCAUCGAAUCUUUGAACGCACAUUGCGCCCGCCAGUAUUCUGGCGGGCAUGCCUGUCCGAGCGUCAUUUCAACCC